RNAcentral lists this unclassified non-coding RNA (330 nucleotides) under soil metagenome. RNAcentral's name for it is "partial contains 5.8S ribosomal RNA, internal transcribed spacer 2, and large subunit ribosomal RNA". The stretch from base 1 to 120 matches the Rfam family "5.8S ribosomal RNA", at positions 35 to 154 of the family's 154-position model. The record is from RNAcentral.
GAUGAAGAACGUAGCGAAAUGCGAUAAGUAAUGUGAAUUGCAGACUUCCGUGAAUCAUCGAAUCUUUGAACGCACAUUGCGCCCUCUGGUAUUCCGGGGGGCAUGCCUGUUCGAGCGUCAUUACAACCCUCAAGCUUUGCUUGGUAUUGGACAUUGCCAGUUUCUGGCAGGUCUUAAAAUCAGUGGCGGUGCCAUUUGGCUUCAAGCGUAGUAAUUCUUCUCGCUUUGGAGAUCCAAGUGGUUACUUGCCAAUAACCCCCAAUUUUUUCAGGUUGACCUCGGAUCAGGUAGGGAUACCCGCUGAACUUAAGCAUAUCAAUAAGCGGAGGA